UAAAAUGACAAACAUGUCUCUUUAAGACCCAAUAACUAGUAAAAUUGUCAAAUGUAAAAGGUAUCUCCAGAAAACCUCCAGGUCACUGUCAAACGUCUGGUCUGUUGAAACUCUAUCAAUCCCUUCGGUCAACAAAGAAGCUGGGAGGCUUUAAACCACACACAGCCAUCUGGCCUGGUCACUGACAGACCGACAAGUAGCCACUUUAGAUGGCAGGAUUAUUGGGCUGUGACCGCCAUGGCAGGAUGCUCAGGGGACUGUGUCCCGCCACACAGGGAACCUGAUCGGUGGGGGGUAGACUGCAAAGAGUGCUGGCCUGCAGCAGCAGAAUGGGCGCCUGGGGAGCAAGCGCUCACAAUGGGCCUCUCAGCACCCAGACAGCAACACACACAGAAUGAGGAGGACAGAGAGGGGGAGCAGGACGAGGAGAAGGAGUAUUGUUGUCACCAUACAGAUGUCCAGGUUGAAGGUCAUGACAGGGUCUGUCCAGCUCCAGGAAACAGGGAAUGGAGGGACCCAGCGGGGCUGCUGAGCUCCUGUGGUCUGUAUGGCCUGAGGGGGUCAAAGGUCGCAGGAGACACAACAGGAGAGCACUCAGUCCUGACUCAAAGCUACAAAGAGCCUCUCGUAGCUCAGACAGAAAGACAGGUACGCCAUCCGUCAACACUUCACUCACGAUUUCUCAUAUGUCAACAUGUUAGCAAGCUAACUCUGUGGACUUCACCUAUCAUAACCUGACAAAUCUAACUGACUGUAGCUGCUUCCAGUAAUGUUCAAAGUAAGAGUCGGGUUUUCAUCUUCUCUUUUGUUGUUUGUCUCUGAAUUCAGAGGUGGCAAUGGGCUUCAGAGCCUCUGACCUAGCUAACCAUGUUUGGUCUCCUCAUCGAGAACAGAGGGAGCUCGAAAAGAAACAUUCCCUUUCUAAUCCCCAAACACUUCCCUAAACGUUUCACCAGCAUUGUGUGCAGGUUCUGUGCACACUGUUCAGCAGAGGUCCAGCUCUUUAAUGGGAUUGGCUAGCGGGAAGCUUUAAUGUAUAGCCUCUGCUAAAGCUAUUAGUGUGAAUACUGGUACGGUCUGGGCCCACUAAGCAGAUAAGUUUAAAUAUGAAGGCAACAUAAGAAAACCUAACCCUAGCUUAAAUAUCCCUAAAUAUACUAUCCUGGUUUCAGCUUAGGGUGACCAAAUGUCUGUGUAAAUAUGGCAGUAAAUCUAUAUGCUAAAGCCUAAUAUAUGAAAUAAUAGUCUAUUAAUAAAAAUCGAUAAAAAUAAAAAUAAAGAAUAAAAAUAAAAAAAAUAACAUGCAAAUAUAAGGUGCCCCUGAGGAGACAUGGUCGGGUUACUUAGUUUUGUCGGAAUGUGAUAUUAUGUCAUGGCCACCAGAUCAUUUUGAUCAGGUAACAACAUCCUUAUUUCUUGGCCUCGAGAUGAUAUGUUGAGAUGAAAGAUAUCCAUUUCUUGUGGUCACGACUUCUUAUGUUGAGGAAACAACAUGUUUUUUUCUUGUGGCCACGAGUUUAAUGUUUAAACAAACCUUCAUGACCAUAGCAACCCAGGAUCAUCAGAGAUGGAUUCAUUAAUGUUUUAUUUUGAAUUAAGAAAUUAUUAUCUUAUUUAUUAUAGAAAUUGUUAAAUGAUUCAAUUAAUAUAUUAACCAGGCCUUGGCUACCGGGCUGUAUUGCAUGCAAUUGCCAGCAUUCAAAUGAAGUUUCAAGUGUGAAAAAAAUAAAAAUAAUAAUAAUUCUCUCUCUCUCUCUCUCUCUCUCUCUCUCUCUCUCUAUAUAUAUAUAUAUAUAUGCAAUGAAUGGAUAUAUGCAAUGGAAUACAAUUAUGAUUGAGAGAUCAAAACAAACAAACAUUCCUCAAAAGCCUAAUGAUCAUAUUUGAUACUCAGUAAACCUAAGUAAACCUAAAUUGCUUCAGUACAGUAAGUGUUCACCUUGAAAUAUUAUUAACAAUAUAAAUGUCAUACAGUAUUUACAGUCAUGUUCCACAUGUACUGUACAUACUAUGCACACUGAUAAACAAAAAAUAUUACUACAUAAAUAAAAGUACUACAUAAAUAAGUAAAACAAAUUGAAUUUUUCCAUUAAAUAAAUAAGUUCAGGCAAGAAUAAAAAAAAAAAAAAAAAAAAGUAAGCUAAGCUAAGGAAUAGAGAAUAGAAGGGCCGGGAGUGGCUCGCAGAUCUAGACCAUAAAUCUGAUGAAUGUGAGGGGAAUGGACCAUCCAGCUGCAUUGCAGAUGUCCUGCAUGGACACACCUGACAAGAAGGCCUUGAUAGCGCCCUUACUGCGGGUUGAGUGAGCCUUGACUCCCAAUGGUGAGGGGAGAUCAGAGGACUCAUAGGCAAGAGUAAUUGCAUUAGGUCACACUGGACACAUGCAGUUUAGCUUCUGCCAGCAGUACGAUAGGCUGGGGGGAACUGGGGGAACCUUCGGGACAUACCAUGCUCAAGGGUAGAGAAACACUUUGGCCAUGCCGGGCACAAAGUCUUAAUAGGAAGGGGCCACUGAGAGGGCCUGAAGAUCCUCAACUCUCUUUAGAUAAGUGAUAGCUAGAAGAAAGGCAGUCUUAAUCGUGAGAUAGCGAUCAGCGAUUUCUUCAAUAGGCUCGAAAGGAGGCUUACAAAGAGCUUCUAGCACCACAGCCAGGUCCCACGUGGGGACAUGAGAUCGUAACGGAGUCCUCAGCCUCAGCGCACCACAGAGGAAACGUAUAACCAGGGGGUAUCUGCCCACUUACUAGCCACCGAGAGGGGCGCGGUAGGCCGCAAUGGCCGCCACAUAGACAUUCAGGGUGGAGUGAGUCAACGCUGCAGAGAAACGGGACUGCAGGAAUUCCAGUACUGUAACAACUGGGCAGUUAACUCGGUUAAAUUGGCGAUCUCCACACCAAGAAGUUUCCUCGUUGAGGGAGCUCUGGAUUGGAGGAUGGUCUCAACAACCUCGGUUGAGAGACCAGAUGCUAAGGGAUGUGUCCCCUCAGGGGCCACAGCCAUAACAAUCAUAGCUCCGGGCGGGGGUGAAAUAUAGUGCCCUCCGCCCGCGAGAGGAGAUCCCUCCUGAUGGGAAUCUCUCAUGGAGAGCCAUCGAGGAGCAAGAUCAGAUCUGAGAACCAUACUCAGCCCGGUCAGAACAGGGCUACUAAUAGAAGACAAACUCUGUCCCGGCACACUCUCGCCAGAACUCCUGGGAGCUGAGCGAUCGGGGAAAAGCAUACAGAUGAAGCCUCAGCCAAGUCUGCACCAUAGUAUUCAGUCCCAGAGGAGCUGGAUGAACUAGAGAGAACCAAAGGGGACAGUGCGAUGUCAUCCAAGUCGCAAACAGAUCCAUAUAGUCCAUAUCUGCUUCACCACCUCGGGCUGAAGCCUCCAUUCCCUGGGCCUCUGCCCCUGCCUCGACAGGAUGUCUGCUCCCACAUUUAUAUGCCCAGGAAUAUGUACUGCUCUUAGCGAAAGGAGUUUGAGAGUUGAUAUGCCAUGUCAGAUGGCAACCACCCCACAGACCGCAGGCAGGGUGGCUACUCAUGACCGCACCCCAACCAGUGAGGGACACGUCAGUCACUAGCAUUACACGGUGACAAGGAGCUCCCAGCACCAGGCCCUGAGACAAAAACCAAGGCUUCCUCUACAUGUCUAAGGCUCACAGGCAUCACCGCGUGACCUUGAUCAUGUGAAGUGGGUUUCCCCUUGGGGAGAACCCCUUGGUCUUGAGUCACCACUGUAGAGGUCUCAUGUACAGCAGGCCAAGAGGUAAAACGUUAGAUGCAGCUGCCAUUAACCCCAAUAGUUUCUGAAUCUGCUUGACAGUGAGAAACUGGCCUUAUCAGACUCUCUUGACUGAGGUGAGGAUCAACUCGAUACAAGAAGGGGACAUAAUUCCUGCAUCGUGGUUGAAUCUCACACCACGCCCAGAUAAGUGGUCCUCUGUAGAGGAAGAAAGCACACUUUUCUUGGCAUUUAAUCUCAACCAAAACAUUUUCAUAUGGGCAAGAAUGACAUCUCGAUGUCGAAGAACCAUCUGCUCUGAUUGAGCCAAAAUCAACCAAUCGUCAAUAUAAUUUACUAUGUGGAUUCCCUGGAGUCGCAGGGGACCCAGAACAGCAUCCACACACUUCGUGAAAGUUCGGGGUGAGAGUGCUAGACCACAAGGAAGAACUCUAUAAUGUCAAGCUUCGCCCCUGAAAGCCAACUUUAGGAACUUCCUGUGAUUGGGAAGGAUGGAGAUAUGAAAAUAAGCAUCUUUUAGAUCUAUCGUGACAAACCAGUCCUCUGACCUGAUCUGAGAUAUGACUUGCCUGAUAGUAAGCAUCUUGAACUUCAGUCGCAUGGCUGAGCAGUUUAACUGACACAGAUCUAAAAUCGGACGUAACCCCCCAUCCUUCUUUGGAACUAUAAAGUAUCGGCUGUAGAACCCGGACUCUUUGUCGUGAGGAGGGACCACCUCGAUGGCCUUCUUCCUCAAGAGGGAAUUUACUUCUUGUUCCAAUAUCAGGGCCUGCUCAUAGUCCACUAGUGUGGGAAAGGCCAGGUUGAAAGGUGGCGGCGGAGCGCCGAACUGAAUUCGAUAACCUUUCUCUACAGUCUGCAGGACCCAAUGAGACACAUUUGGCAGUAGCUUCCACACUGCUGAAUAGUCUACUAAGGGAACCAAUCUCUCAAGAUCUACUUUGAGCUGCUAGCUCAGUGCCCUGAAGCAGAG
Carassius auratus (goldfish) is the source of this 4701-nucleotide long non-coding RNA. The record is from Ensembl. Lineage: Eukaryota; Metazoa; Chordata; Actinopteri; Cypriniformes; Cyprinidae.